Molecule: ribosomal RNA, 497 nt
Filed under: uncultured bacterium
Lineage: Bacteria
Description: partial 16S ribosomal RNA
Rfam family: Bacterial small subunit ribosomal RNA
Source: RNAcentral
GAUGAACGCUGGCGGCGUGCCUAAUACAUGCAAGUCGAGCGAACAGACGAGGAGCUUGCUCCUCUGACGUUAGCGGCGGACGGGUGAGUAACACGUGGAUAACCUACCUAUAAGACUGGGAUAACUUCGGGAAACCGGAGCUAAUACCGGAUAAUAUAUUGAACCGCAUGGUUCAAUAGUGAAAGACGGUUUUGCUGUCACUUAUAGAUGGAUCCGCGCCGCAUUAGCUAGUUGGUAAGGUAACGGCUUACCAAGGCAACGAUGCGUAGCCGACCUGAGAGGGUGAUCGGCCACACUGGAACUAAGACACGGUCCAGACUCCUACGGGAGGCAGCAGUAGGGAAUCUUCCGCAAAGGGCGAAAGCCUGACGGAGCAACGCCGCGUGAGUGAUGAAGGUCUUCGGAUCGUAAAACUCUGUUAUUAGGGAAGAACAAAUGUGUAAGUAACUAUGCACGUCUUGACGGUACCUAAUCAGAAAGCCACGGCUAACUACGUG